Molecule: long non-coding RNA, 7043 nt
Filed under: Homo sapiens (human)
Lineage: Eukaryota; Metazoa; Chordata; Mammalia; Primates; Hominidae
Description: HSALNT0350943
Source: RNAcentral
AAGUAAAAGUUUUGAACUACUCAAGAUUCGUAAUUUAACAUAACUUUUAUUUCUGAAUAUUCUAUUUUUAAGUGGUAGAACCUGCAGAUUCUUUCACAAAACACUUAUCAAUUCUUAUAAAUAAUGGUAAAUUCCCUUUGAAUCCAGAAAAAGUACACAGGAACAUUUUACACACCCAAGUCAAACCCCAAGGCCAAUUUGAAUAAAGUGAAAUUUGGUUAACAUGACAAGUUAACUUUUGUCAUCCUUUACUGAAAUAAUUUUUUGACAGCAUUUUUUAUAUGUUGGAAAUAGGUGUUGUUUUUGUUGGUUAAGUAUUUUCAAACUAAGACAUUUCCUGACUUCAUUUACUGCUAUAAAGUUUAUAGUGAUCUUUUAAAAUGAUAAUAUUUUUAAGUAUUAAUGUUCAAAAAUAUGUACUGCAGUAAAUAAAAAAACUAUCAACCUAUUGAUUUCUAAGGUUCACUUUUACUCUACAAUUCUGUCCUUUUCUGUGGGAAUUUUAUAUUUCUUAUAACAGAUGCACCAGAGGGUGCUGUGCUGUUUGCAACAUGAGAUUAUUAUCACUAAGAAUGUGAACUCACUAGAACUUUUAUUUAAAGAAAAAAAUUUUUAAUUAUAUAUGCAUUGAAGCAUAUAAUAGGCUUAUUUUUAUGGAGUUUAACAUACUAUCUUAAUUGGCAGUUUUACAUCAGAACCUAACUUCGUGUACUAAUACAUAUUACCGCAACAUAUAACAAUAUAAAGAUUGAUAUCUUUGGCACUGUCUGGCAUUAGUCCUAUAGGCAUAUAUGUUGAUUAUCUUAUGUAGAUAUUUUAAUCUUUAUUUCAAAACUUAGGUUACCCUGAGAAUCAUACUAUUUGGCGAUAUGUGGCUUUAUACUUCUUAAAUUUCAUAUGAUUAGCACAUAUCAAUAAUUGUCCAUUCUUAUAACACUUUUACAUGGCAUAGUGAUAUGCUUUUUAUUGUAUAAUCUUUAAAAAAACCACUGGAAAAAUAAAUGGCAAUAGUGGUUAUCAGGCUAAUUCAUAAUAAAAUAGUAUUGACAUUAUCUAGAUAAUUCUGGCUGGUUGUAUUGGUUCACAUUUAUAAUCCCAACACUUUGGGACUGAGGCAGAAGGAUCACCUGAGGCUAUGAGUUCAAGAGCAGCCUGGGCAACAUAGCAAGAUUUCAUUUCUGUAAAAAAAAGUAAAAGAAAAUUAGCCAGCCUUGCCGGGUUUUGCUCUGUCACUCAGGCUGGAGUGCAGUGGCAUAGUCAUAGCUCACUGCAGCCUCAAUCUCCUGGGCUCACGUGGUCCUCCUGCCACAGCCUCCUGAGUAGCUAGGACUACAGGCUGUUGCCAUCAUUUUAAAAUUUAAAACAUUUCAAUUUUUUUUUUUUUUGUAGAGACAGGGUCUUGCUACAUUGCCCAGGCUAGAUUUUUGAAAGUAUACUUUAUAGCAAGUUGUAUUGCUUCAAAAUCUUUAUAUUUGUAGUUUUUAUUUCGUAUCAAAUGCAGAGUGUUCUUAGUGAAAACAAAUCAGUUAAAAAUGGAAACGUGUUUAGAGUAUCAAUAAAUAGAGUGCUUGGUCAAGAUUUCUGAAGGUUCUUGGUAAUUCCUGUUUAGGCAAAAAUGAGGUAUUGGGUAAUAGGAGUUGAGCUUAGGAAAACUAAUAGAGUGAGACAGCUGUCCUCAAAAUAAUAGUGUGUUAGUUGGUAAGAGGAGACAGAUACAGUGAAAGAUGAUAAAAGGAGAAAGGACAGCGAGUGACCAGGCCAAGAUAUAAAGGACUUCAAAAAUGCUAGCCAAAGGAGGUUAAAGAGAAAAUAAAGGUUCUCACUCUAUUUCUAACUGUAAAACCUUAGCCUGGUCACUUAUACCCUAUAGGUCUCAGUUUCUCCAUCUGUAACAUGAAACAAUAGGGCUAUGGGAUUUCUAAAGCCCUUUCCAAUCUAUGAUUCUGUAGCAAGAUUGACACUGGGAAAGGGAAGGAAACAUGCCAAUAACAUGGAGCCAGGAAUUGGCAUUUCCCUUACUCAUGUUCUCAAAGGCUAGCAAGUUGUUUGCUUAUUGUUUCUUCUGGAACCUGAAUUUUGAUUUAGUCAUGCACAAAUUUUAGAAAGGAAUUAAAAAGACUGGUGAGAAAAUCUAGUUCAUAAGCAAGCACAGCAUUUCUCUUAUUAUUUAUUAUUUUUGUUUUUAUGGGUACAUGUUAAGGGUAUAUAUUUAAGGGAUAUUUCGAUACAUGCAUACAAAGCAUAGUAGUCACCAACCAGACGCAAUACUGGCAACUAUGCUAUUAUCUGAUUUUUUAUUUUCUUAAUCUGAGUUUUUGGAAGGUUAUGUUGUUUACUUUUUAAUAGUAUGGGACUGUGGCAGGAAUUGUAAUUACCAAGAUUUUGUCUAAUUAUUUCUCUCUCUCUCCUCUCUGUGUCUCUCUUUCUGUGUGUGUGUGUGUGUGUGUCUGUGUUUUACAAUUAGAAGUAAAUCAGUGAGCUCAGACUUGAAUUAGUUUCGGUAUUGUGCUAAAGAUGAGCAGUUUGAGCCCUAACCCUGUUAAUUAUUUGAAACAGUCAAUUUAAGAGAAACCAAGAAUAUGGCAAUUGAACUUCCCAAUGUAACCUGAUGCUCUCUGCAGCCUCAUUUGUGGUAACAAAUAUGAAAGGAUACAUUUAUAUAAAACAGGAGGGGAGAGAUCUAAAUAAUAUACUUUUAGAUUGAACUAUAUUUCUGAUAUAUCAACAUAUAUACUGACUCAUAAAUUAGAAUGGAAAAUACAAAUAUUGAAAGUGUAAUUCAAAUGAAUAGAAAGUGCUAAAUACUUGCAAGCCUUAAAUUGGGAUUUGAAUAUAGAGAUUGAGUUACCAGAGUAACUAAAUACUAGACUGCUGUAUUUGUUGGAUGUGCAGAGAAGGAAACUCAAAUAUGGAACGUGGUCUUAAUGUCUUAUGAAUCAUUUUUACUUAACUUUUAAAAUUCAGAUUAAUAGAGUCCUCUAAAAAGAAGGUUUUUUUGAAUUUUUAGAAAUAGCUCAGAGUUUUACGUUUCCCUCUGUCAGAAUCUUUUCAGGAUUCCUCAUUGCCUCUUCGUCAGAGUCGUUUAAGAAAUAUUUAUUAGUUAUCACAGUGUCCCACAGAACAACCACAGUCUUUGCUGUUAGGAAGCUUAUAGUCUCAUGUCCAUUUUCAAACUUGUAUUUCACCACUUUUCUCUGUACUUCCCCUUUUUUGACCAGUCUACAUUUCGUAUCUGUGGGAUCUGCAUUUGUGAAUUCAACCAGCUGAGGAUGGGAAACACUUGAAAAAAGAAAACAAUAUAUAACAACACAACAAUAAAAAAAGUAAAUACAGUAUAACAACUUUAUAUAGCACUUACAUUGUAUUAGGAAUUAUAAUUAAUCUAGAGAUGAUUUAAAGUAUACACGGGAGGAUGUGUACAGGCUAUACACAAAUACUAUGCUAUUUUAUAUAAGAGAGUUGGGCACCCUUUUUUAAGAUGGAGGUCCUGGAACCAAUUCCCCAUGGUUACGGAGGGACAACUGUAUUAUGUAUUGGUUAAGAGCAUGAACUUCAAAAUGAACAGCCCUGGGUGUGAAUUCGAGCUCUGCCACUGACUAGCAGUUUAAUGUUAGGCAGAUUACUUAAAUUCUGUGAAAUAGGAUUAAUAAAAUCAACCUGAAAAGAUUGUUUCAAAGACAGUAUAUGACAUAGUCAAAAUAGCACUGUGCCUGACAUGAAGUUCUUUGGUCAGAUGUUGCCUUUACACCUCUCAGUGUACUUCAGCUCUCCUUUAUUGUUGAUUUCUUGGCCUUUCUUUUUUGGAUAGUUGUUCCACAUUCCUCUGUUUGUUGCUCUGGGGUACUUUUAGAGAAAUAGUUAAUUUCUUUUACUCUGCUUCCUGUAGUGUGUAAUGAGAAGAAAUGAAAGCAACCAUUGAAGGACAGAUAACUGGCUCUUUAAAAAGGAAUAAGGUAGUGCAGUUGACAGGUUAUUUAAAGGGUUCCCAGCUCAGAAUAGUUAAGUUGAAGGGCUAAAUGGUUCCAAGAAUGUAGAGAAAAUGUCUCACUUAAAAAAAAUUAACUUUCCAAAGUUGCAGGAUGUGUCUUGAAUUGUAGGCCAAUCACUCCUGAAAAGUAUUAAGCCCUUUAAACACACUGGUUGGACCCAUAGAGGGAAGCCUACAGGUUUAUUAGUACUCCUUAUCCUGAAAGCACAGCAUACCCUUUUAGGUUGCACAGCAACAGACUCCUAGCAACCGUAAUAGAUUGAAUUUCUAAGAGUGACCAGGCCGGAUGUAAUAAUAAAGCAAGAGGUACAAACAGUUGUCAUGGUUUUCUUUUCACGUAUGUGAUUGCUAAUGUAGACGUGAAAAGGAGAUUAAUUCAGAUACAUUCACAACCUGAAACAAGAUGCUUCCAUCAAAAGAAUCAGAUCCUCAUAUAGCUGCUAGAGUUGGAACUACAGUCUUUGACAGCAAUAAGCUGUAAAUAUACACACAUGCUAAUACCCUUGAUUUGUUCAUCUUUUGUGUCAGCAUUUGGAAAAGAUUGUUAAAGUGGCAGUUAUAGUAAAGACGGGCAAUUACAGUAAAGAGCAGAAAUUAGGUAUUUGUGACCUAUUAUAUUUCAUUAAAAGACUUCCUUAUUAAAAUGGCACUGCUUACUCUGAUUACUUGACAGCUGCCCUAAACAGAUUAGAAAAUACACAGCUUCAGCUAAAGGUAAAAUCAGCCUCUUUAAGCAAGCUUAUGGCAUAGAACAAGUAAAUGGUAUAGUGUAAGCAAUUUUUUUGUAACACUUUUGCUUGAGGUAGAGAUGUUUGUCAGUGAUUAAGUGGUGUAUUCUUUCACAUUCCUGUAAUAAUAGUUUGUCCACAGUGGCAUUUCCCAUUGAGAUAUUUUUAUACACCCAUCUGAUAUCAUACUAGUUCCUACUAGUAUGAGGCAUCCUAGUUCGAGAGAUCAGCAUGACUUCACCAAAAAAUCUUUUUCCUGCUAAGUGAUGAGUUACAGCUCCAGUUCAAUGUAAAUACUGCCUUUACCAGGCAAAAACUCUAAUUUUUGGAAGUUUCACCACGAGGUUAUCAGUUUUUUUCUUUAUCCUUUAAUAAUCCACUGGAGCCACUGUGAAUUUAAUAUUUAAAUUUGGGCAUCACUUUCAGAACAUUUAAUUGUUUGCUUAUUUAGAGAAGAAUUCCUUGUGGCACUUGUUACCUUCAAGAUAUUUCUAUUUACUUUGUUAUAUAGUAUAGUGACUGUAGCACUUUAUAGAAUAGUACUGCCUAUCAAUUGUUCAGAUUGUAGUUUAGCAGUUAAGUAGCCUGAAUUGGUACAUAUUGUAACAUUUCAAGACUUUGUCACUAUAUUUCACAUCACGAGGUAUGGCAUAAACACUGUAGAUCAGCCUGUGAGUAUCAAAUCACAGCUCACUCUUGAAGACACAAACACAGGUUCAGUAUGAAGCAGAUUUGUGGGAAGAUUACCUCCUGCAACUAAUCUUGAAUGUAGAUUUUUGUCAGGACUGUCACAACAUUAAUAGAAGGCUUGUUGUAGUACUUGCAUGGAUCUGUGAAAUUUCCACAAAGAUGCAAACUGUGCUGUAUGAGACAGUUGUAUGCCAGUUCCACAUACACAAGUAUCUUUAACUUACAUAUUUAGUGUAAUUUUUUUAAUCUGAUGCAUCUUGCAUGAAGUGUGUUAGCUUGCAAAAUUGUUAGGGAAAAAUGUGGGUUCUUUUGAAUAAGGGAAACCAGAGUUCAAAUCCUGGUUUUGUCAUUUGAUAGCUAAUUAUCCUUAAAUAAGUUCCUUAACUGCCUUGAUCCCAGAUUUUUAAUGUAAAAAUGGGAAUAUUACCUGAAAGAUAAAGUGAAAGGGAAAAUGAGAUAAGCGUAUAGAGAGAGCUUAACGUGAUAGUACAGAAUUAGUAGUUGAACUGUGGAAGCUAGUAUUCUUAUUUUCAUCUUUCUGGCUUAGUCUUUGUGGUAUAGGAUAUGAGGAGAGUUUUGCAGGAGAGGGUAGCAGCUGAAAAUAGUAACAUGGCAGUAGACAAUCAGAAACAAAAUUGUUUUCAAAGAGGAAUGUUAUGUACUGUAUGUUAAGUCAUUUUCAGUAUUGAUGGGUAUAGAUAGAUACAACUAUGAUUUACUGAAGCCUUACCAGCUGGAGAGAGCCACUGUUGCUCAUCUCUUCUUAAUUCUGCAUUCAGAAUGUCACAUUUCUAGCUUGAAAAGUAGCCAUUCCAGAAGUAUACACACCAUGGAAAUUAGUAGAAAUCACAAAUCUGACUUUUUUUGGUGGGGAGGGAAAGAGUGGAAUGUUGGUUUUAAACAUUUAUCAGUACAUGACUGGAUAUAACACAUCCCAACAAAAGUUCUUUGGGAUUCUCAAAAAAUUUAAGAUCUGAAGGGGUUCCAGGUCAACAACUCUGCUUAUCACAAAAGAACUGCUGCUUGUUACUAUACUAUGCAAAUUUAACACCAGAGUCUAUGCAAAUAUAUGAUUGAGGCAGAAUUUUCAGCCAGGUACUCUGUCUCUAGAGCCACUUUACCAGUCUUUUUUUCUAUAGUGUCUUCUAACAAGAUUAAUUCCACAAAGUGAUUUGAAGUUAAAAGAUACGUGAUAUCUUCUGUGGCUCUCAUCAUACUAAGUACAUAGAUUAAUUACUUGUUGACUGCUUUGAGACUAUCAGUAUUAUGGGGGUAUAGAAAAAUGGAAAGAAAAAGGGUUAUGGGCUUGAGUGGUUAGGGAAACCUUCAGAGAUGAGUCUACCUCCAUUUUUCAUAUCCUGGGCUCUUUGCCAUAGCAUGCCCACAAGAUCAUCCUGCAGGCAAUGUUGCCCCACCCCUUGCAAGCUAUCUGUUGACUACCCUGUAGGCGUAGAGUUGAUUUAAAAGCACAUAUUCUUUUAAAGAAUGCUUUUUCUGAGAUUUCCCCUAAUUUAUAUUUCUUAUUAUUACAAUACUAUGAUUAUUCUUUGAAUUAUAGUUCUUUGAAAACUAAAAAUUCUCUCAUGUAAAAUCAAAAACAGUAUCUUUUUUGGCUAAAUCAGAAACAUCUAAAAAUA